This is a long non-coding RNA of Parus major (Great Tit), 243 nucleotides long. RefSeq lists it as uncharacterized. The transcript has 2 exons. Lineage: Eukaryota; Metazoa; Chordata; Aves; Passeriformes; Paridae. The record is from RefSeq and is a predicted model, not a curated record.
AUUCAACUUGUAAACACCCCCUUAAGAAGUACAGACAGAGUUCUCUUGUCCUCUUUCGCUUCCGGCUUUUGGCAAGGAGAGCUCACAGAAACAGAUGAAGAGGACUUCUGCCUUUGAAUAACUCAUCCUUAAAAAUUAAAUCCCUCGACUUUAUUGACCCAUGCACACCUCGGAGAGAUGUGAGAUGGGAGGAGAAGAUCUAAUGACAGAUUUCCGGGCAGCUGGCAUUAGAGAAAUAGAAAA